Long non-coding RNA from Thunnus maccoyii (southern bluefin tuna), 227 nucleotides. RefSeq lists it as uncharacterized. NCBI's taxonomy places the organism in Eukaryota, Metazoa, Chordata, Actinopteri, Scombriformes, Scombridae. The record is from RefSeq and is a predicted model, not a curated record. The transcript has 3 exons.
CGACAGUGAGAGUCACUCUGAAAUUCAACACAAUUAGGUCUUAAAAGUGGUAAUGAUGAAAAUCAAAGCAAGGUUUUGGCGAUGUCCUCUCAGGAAAACUAUGGUGGAUCUCCACACCGCUUCCUCUCCCCUGCACUAUAAGGUGCUCAUUAGGUGAACCUGGAACACCUGAGGGCCCCGGUGUGUUCCCAAGUUAUAUAAGUCCUGGCUGCAGCACAGCUCACUCU